AGAGGAGUGCCUGAAAAAAGGGUUAUUUUGAUAGAAUAGAUCAUGUGUGCGGAACCACCUCCUCUC
Molecule: transfer RNA, 66 nt
Filed under: Subcoccinella vigintiquattuorpunctata (24-pointed ladybird beetle)
Lineage: Eukaryota; Metazoa; Arthropoda; Insecta; Coleoptera; Coccinellidae
Description: Subcoccinella vigintiquatuorpunctata (24-pointed ladybird beetle) tRNA-Ile
Source: RNAcentral